GACGAACGCUGGCGGCGUGCUUAACACAUACAAGUCGAACGCUGAAGCUUGGUGCUUGCACUGGGUGGAUGAGUGGCGAACGGGUGAGUAAUACGUGAGUAACCUGCCCUUGACUCUGGGAUAAGCCUGGGAAACUGGGUCUAAUACUGGAUACGACAUGUCACCGCAUGGUGGUGUGUGGAAAGGGUUUUACUGGUUUUGGAUGGGCUCACGGCCUAUCAGCUUGUUGGUGGGGUAAUGGCUCACCAAGGCGACGACGGGUAGCCGGCCUGAGAGGGUGACCGGCCACACUGGGACUGAGACACGGCCCAGACUCCUACGGGAGGCAGCAGUGGGGAAUAUUGCACAAUGGGCGGAAGCCUGAUGCAGCGACGCCGCGUGAGGGAUGACGGCCUUCGGGUUGUAAACCUCUUUCAGCACGGAAGAAGCGAAAGUGACGGUACGUGCAGAAGAAGCGCCGGCUAACUACGUG
This 472-nucleotide ribosomal RNA is filed under the name uncultured bacterium. RNAcentral's name for it is "partial 16S ribosomal RNA". It matches the Rfam family "Bacterial small subunit ribosomal RNA", at positions 28 to 507 of the family's 1533-position model. The record is from RNAcentral.